RNAcentral lists this long non-coding RNA (683 nucleotides) under Anser brachyrhynchus (Pink-footed goose). Its description in RNAcentral is "lncRNA (ENSABRG00000014456.1)". The record is from RNAcentral. Lineage: Eukaryota; Metazoa; Chordata; Aves; Anseriformes; Anatidae.
AGAAAUUCUGGCUCCAUUGAAGUAAAUGCCUUUGAGGCUAAAGUUCAUUCAGGAAUUUCAGUGUUGUUUCUGAAAUUUACUAUCCAUUGUGAAGGGUAUAACCUAAAACCACUCCCAAGUUCAAAAGAAAAAAAAAAAAGAAAAAGGUGUUUUUCAGAUAUUCAUUUACCUUUCUGAUGCCUUUUCCUAGCAAGAAUGACAGAGAAUGUGGAGAGAGGAAAAAAAAGUGAGAUACUGAAAUGUGGUUCUUCUGUGAUCAGAGCAUUUACUUGUCAUUGGCAAAACCUGCAGAGAUAAAAAUGGCUCUUGCUGCGCUGGCGCAGUGGCAACCACUGCAAAGCAAAGUGCUCCCCCGAGAUGUGAAACUCAGCAGUUUCCCACUGAGUGCUGGAGCAGCUGUGGAAGAAGGAAGAAUAAAAGGUGAUAUGAGUUAGAUUUAUGCUGAUGUAUGAGAUUUUCAGGGACAUGUAAACCAGGAGAAACCUAGAAAUCUGAGCCCAGCUUGGAAAACUGUAGCAGAAAGUCAUUGGGAAAUUGAGACCUGAAUCCCAGUUGUUCUGCACGUUUCUGUCAUUUGCAGUUGCAACACCAGUGUAAUAUUGCAUCUUCUCACCAGUGAAGGCGCUGGAUUUGCCUACCAGCCCAAAGGCAAGAGAAAAAUAAAGGACCUCUCUCUCGCUAAA